UGUCCCUGACCUGGGUAGAGUGACAUCUGGUUGGUGAUGCCCAUUUCGUAUCAGCCAGGGCAAGGCAACCCCUUGUUUAUCUCAGUUUGGCUUCUGGUCUGUGCCCAUGCCUGGUUCAUGCCUUGGAGACAUGG
Molecule: small nucleolar RNA, 134 nt
Filed under: Propithecus coquereli (Coquerel's sifaka)
Lineage: Eukaryota; Metazoa; Chordata; Mammalia; Primates; Indriidae
Description: Small nucleolar RNA SNORA48 (ENSPCOG00000012519.1)
Rfam family: Small nucleolar RNA SNORA48
About the family: The snoRNA ACA 48 has been identified to guide pseudouridylation of the residue U3797 in the 28S rRNA subunit. Its host gene EIF4A1 (eukaryotic translation initiation factor 4A1) is shared with U67 and snoRNA mgU6-77
Source: Rfam by way of RNAcentral